Molecule: ribosomal RNA, 886 nt
Filed under: uncultured eukaryote
Lineage: Eukaryota
Description: SSU rRNA
Rfam family: Eukaryotic small subunit ribosomal RNA
Source: RNAcentral
CAGCAGCCGCGGUAAUUCCAGCUCCAAUAGCGUAUAUUAAAGUUGUUGUGGUUAAAAAGCUCGUAGUUGGAUCUCAACAGCCUUGAAGCGGUUAACUUUGUAGUUUUACUGCUUUAUAGGCUGUGCUUUUGCUGGAGGUUUAGGGGUGCUCUUGAUCGAGCGUCUCUGGAUGCCAGCAGGUUUACUUUGAAAAAAUUAGAGUGCUCAAAGCAGGCUAAAAUGCCUGAAUAUUCGUGCAUGGAAUAAUAGAAUAGGAUGUCGAUCCUAUUUUGUUGGUUUUCGGGACUCGACAUAAUGAUAAAUAGGGACAGUCGGGGGCAUUUGUAUUCAAACGACAGAGGUGAAAUUCUUGGACCGUUUGAAGACAAACUACUGCGAAAGCAUUUGCCAAGAAUGUUUUCAUUAAUCAAGAACGAAAGUUAGAGGUUCGAAGGCGAUCAGAUACCGCCCUAGUUCUAACCAUAAACGAUGCCAGCUAGCGAUCUGCCUGCGUUUUUACUGUAGACUGGGCAGGAAGCUUCCGGGAAACCAAAGCAUUUGGGUUCCAGGGGAAGUAUGGUUGCAAAGCUGAAACUUAAAGGAAUUGACGGAAGGGCACCACCAGGAGUGGAGCCUGUGGCUUAAUUUGACUCAACACGGGAAAUCUCACCAGGCCCGGACACUGGAAGGAUUGACAGAUUGAUAGCUCUUUCUUGAUUCGGUGGGUGGUGGUGCAUGGCCGUUCUUAGUUGGUGGAGUGAUUUGUCUGGUUAAUUCCGAUAACGAACGAGACUCUGUCCUGCUAAAUAGUUUCUACUUCUCUUUUGAGUAGAAAUUUCUUCUUAGAGGGACUGGUGACUCUUAGUCACACGAGAUUGAGCAAUAACAGGUCUGUGAUGCCCAAGGG